RNAcentral lists this long non-coding RNA (310 nucleotides) under Elaeis guineensis (African oil palm). RNAcentral describes it as "long non-coding RNA (EGUI_LNC031559)". The record is from RNAcentral. Lineage: Eukaryota; Viridiplantae; Streptophyta; Magnoliopsida; Arecales; Arecaceae.
GUCACGAUAUCGGUAUCCAAGUCUGCCCCAUCAAGUAAAUUUAUUUUCGGCUUAUUAGAGUAAGAGAGGCUUUAUUGGUCUUGCUGCGCUCGUUUCUAGAUAUGUUAAGCAUAACAAGUUGUCUUUUACUUGUGGACAUUUCUAUCCAAUUUCUUCUCCCUAACUCAAUUGGAGAAAGCUUUCUACCUCCGCACACUUACCUUGACCGAAGGCAGUUACAUCCCCAACCAUGCAAAUAAUUCUAGCUUGUGUCACUUCAUACUAUUCGAGAAACCAUCCCCACACCAUCAUUGGAUAUUAUCGGCGAGCC